RNAcentral lists this ribosomal RNA (402 nucleotides) under uncultured prokaryote. RNAcentral describes it as "bacterial SSU rRNA". It matches the Rfam family "Bacterial small subunit ribosomal RNA", at positions 355 to 774 of the family's 1533-position model. The record is from RNAcentral.
UGGGGAAUAUUGGACAAUGGGCGCAAGCCUGAUCCGGCCAUGCCGCGUGAGUGAUGAAGGCCUUAGGGUUGUAAAGCUCUUUUGCCGGGGACGAUAAUGACGGUACCCGGAGAAUAAGUCCCGGCUAACUUCGUGCCAGCAGCCGCGGUAAUCCGACGGGGACUAGCGUUGUUCGGAAUCACUGGGCGUAAAGCGCACGUAGGCGGAUUUGUAAGUCAGGGGUGAAAUCCCGGGGCUCAACCUCGGAACUGCCUUUGAUACUGCAAGUCUUGAGUCCGAUAGAGGUGGGUGGAAUUCCUAGUGUAGAGGUGAAAUUCGUAGAUAUUAGGAAGAACACCAGUGGCGAAGGCGGCCCACUGGAUCGGUACUGACGCUGAGGUGCGAAAGCGUGGGGAGCAAACA